GCGCGUCGCUCGCUCGCCCGCCCGCCCGCCCCCUACCCGAUCCUGCGAGGCCUUUCCACCUAGGCACAGGCCUGGCCUUCGCGGAGCAUCACCGGCUGCAGCGAAUCCGGCUUCCUUCCCGCGACAGCCCGCAGUCAAGUGUCAGAAUGGGCAGCACAGUGACGGAUGCCAAAUAGGAGCAGUGACAGGAGAGGAAUGUUUGGAGAAUGACACCAGAGAUCCGGAAAGAUCCAUCCCUCUGGGACAGGAGCCUUACACAGAGAGAGAAGAGAAGAAUUCGGGCAAAGUGUGUGCUCCAGUAAAUUUGCACGGCAUUCUUGUUUAUCAGCUCUGCACUGGUAAAUGGUGCUCUGGCCCCUCACGAGAGCCUCAGGAAGGCAUGACGUCAUGCAUGGGACGCUGAGCCUCCUGAAGCAGCCACUGAAACUCCAGCCUCCCAUGGAGUCCUGGUUUGAGGAAGACCACCAUGAGACAUGUGAACAAAGGACAGGCUCCAUGGUGCACCUGGACCUUCUGGACCCUCCACUCUGGGGCUUCCAGCUGUGCCAGAUAUCCCUGAACCAGGAAUGUUGCACAGAAAGCACAGAGCCACCUGACUCUAAGGGUCCAUGCCAGGCUGCUUCAGUCAGUAGGUGUCCAAGUGGUAAAGAGGCGGGCCUAGUGACUACGUCAGAAGGAAGCUCCAGAAGUUUCCACACGGUUCUAGUAGGGGUGUGAGAGCACUUGGGGUAGAUUAAAGUUGAUUUGGAAGAAUUAAAGGUCUAUGAGUCAGUAGAGCCAUUCAAACCAAUGUAUGUCUCAGGGCUUACUGGAGUUGAGUAUACAUGGGUUGGGCUCUGAGUGGAGAGGACCUUUGUUCCUAGAGUGGCCAUGUCCAAGAGGAUGGCCAGGCCAGACCAGAUGCUGGGUGCCCAGAGGUGGAAAGGGAAAGAAAUUACCAUGAAUGGUUUAAACUAAUGAGAUUCAUCUCUUGAGGAUGGGAAGGGGUCCUUGUGUUCAUGGCUGCCUGAUAUCUGACCAAGAAAGGUGGACAGAGAAGGCUGUUGGGUAGGAAGCUACUAGUGUCUGCUCAUACCCGCUUCCAUGUGUUCUACCUUGAGUAUUUCUGAAGCCUGUUGUAUAUUGCCGUUUAAUCUGAAAGGAAGAGAGGAAGCAAAGACCCACCUGAUGUUUCUGAGUAUCAAAGUUACCUCAGGAGGAGGGAGGCGCAUGGCUAUCCUUAAGCCAGGGGCUGAUGUGUGUUGUGGCCUGCCUGCAUCACCGGUGAGAAGGGCCCAGAAAUCUUUCUGCCUGGGGGACAGAGAAGCCUUCUGGGAAAGCAUUCAAACUUAAGCCAAAGUAUGUCCUUGAGAAGAGAUCACAGACACAAGUCUGAAUUAGUUAGAAUGCCCCAGCCUUCAGACGGGAGCAACAACGGAAGGUCAGCAGAGUGCCGUCACUCCAUUUUAUCCCCUUCCCAGCACCCCCAUGUCCUCAACAGUUAAAUUAAUCCCUUCGUUAAAAAAAAAUUGAGCUUAUAAAACAUGGCUUCACCUUAGUUCUGAGUGACUGAGACUUCGGCUGGGAAACCAUGGGGCAAAAUGAGGCACUUUUCCUGGAGUCUUGUGCUUUUGAGGAUCCCAGAGAACACAGCGCACCGGGGCCCCUCAUGGAGAGCCCUGCUUACCAUCGACGGUGUCCUGCAGCGGUGGCCAUCCAUCCAGCAAUGUCAGGGGCCCCUGGCAACUGUGGCUGAGCCCACUGGGGUCUGACAACAUAGCCCGAGUGGGUAAUGGUGGUCACUCCAAGUACCUUUGUCUAGACUCGCUCCCCAGGUAAUUUUAGCCUGUUCUUGGCUUGCACGUACAGCACCUUUGUGAGAAUUAGAAAUAGGAGCCCUGUCUGGAUGGAAGAAUUAUGAAAAGGCAGCUCUCCCCUGGUGUGUAGCAAGACUUGACAAGUGGGUCUAAGGCUGCAUUUCAGCCUUUCUCCAAAGCCAGGCAUUUCUGGACAUUUUAACAUUUUUAAAAUCCAGAAAAGUAUAAAGAGGAAAAUAGAAAUCACCCAUAAUCUCAAUAUUUCAACCCUCAGAAAACUUAAUGUGGAGAGAAGUUGGAUCCAGAGGGUCCUUUAAGGCCCUUCCUUUGGAUGAUGACGUUGAGUCUUGCUGGCCAAACCAGGGCCUGUGCUGGAUGCCAGGUCUCGCUGCUCCCUCGCCAGCCUGGGGCCCUGGCCAUGGUGAUAUACAGGCUGUGCUGAACAACACUCUUGUUUUCUCCACAGCCUUGACCCGGGAAUUCGGUUUCUCUUCAUAGGAUUCCAGGUGUUGCGUUCCUGGGACUCACGGCCCUCUGGAAAACCAUUCAUUGACUCGUUCUCAUUUGAGAAUAUUUCUGGAGCAUCUUCUCUGCCCCAUUCUUACUCUGGAGAAAAAAAAAAAAAAGUCACAGUUGAGUCCCUCCCCCUCUGCCGCUGUGGGCCGGCUGCUCUGACUCUUGGCAGCUGUCAGCUGUCCCUGUGCUCAGAGCCUUGUCUCCCUUUGGCCUCUCAUCCCAAGAUACUCAGCUGCAUGCCAAAGAUCUGCUCUCUGGUGAGUCCCUCUAGUAGCCAUUCUCGGUACAGGGCCCCGAACAUUCCUUCACUUGGGUCGACCUUUGGCAACAUCCUUUAUACUGUCUCAGGACCAGGCCCUGCCAUGAUCUGAAAGGUCCCAGCAGAGUUGCGUUCGGGUGGUUGAGUCAGCUGAGCUUCCAACUCUAGAUUUCUGCUCAGGUCAUGAUUUCACGGUCGUGGGAUCGAGCCCCAGGUCAUACGCUGACAGUGUGGUGCCUACUUUGGAUUCUCUCUCUCUUUGCCCCUCCCCCCCCUCAUUCUCUCUCUCCCUCCCUCUCUCUCUCUGUCUCAAAAUAAAGGAAUAAACAUUAAAAAAAAAAAAAAAAAA
RNAcentral lists this long non-coding RNA (2920 nucleotides) under Felis catus (domestic cat). Its description in RNAcentral is "lncRNA (ENSFCAG00000046818.1)". The record is from RNAcentral. Lineage: Eukaryota; Metazoa; Chordata; Mammalia; Carnivora; Felidae.